RNAcentral lists this ribosomal RNA (428 nucleotides) under uncultured bacterium. Its description in RNAcentral is "partial 16S ribosomal RNA". It matches the Rfam family "Bacterial small subunit ribosomal RNA", at positions 354 to 796 of the family's 1533-position model. The record is from RNAcentral.
GUGGGGAAUAUUGGGCAAUGGGCGCAAGCCUGACCCAGCAACGCCGCGUGAGGGAAGAAGGCUUUCGGGUUGUAAACCUCUGUCCUUGGUGACGAAAAAAAUGACGGUAGCCAAGGAGGAAGCCCCGGCUAACUACGUGCCAGCAGCCGCGGUAAUACGUAGGGGGCGAGCGUUGUCCGGAAUUACUGGGCGUAAAGGGUGCGUAGGUGGCCUUUUAAGUUGGAUGUGAAAUCCCCGGGCUUAACUUGGGUGGUGCAUCUAAUACUGGAGGGCUAGAGUGCAGGAGAGGGAAGCGGAAUUCCUAGUGUAGCGGUGAAAUGCGUAGAUAUUAGGAGGAACACCAGUGGCGAAGGCGGCUUUCUGGACUGUAACUGACACUGAGGCGCGAAAGCCAGGGGAGCGAACGGGAUUAGAAACCCGGGUAGUCC